CUCCUCUACCAACACUGCCACCUUUGCCCAAAACGCACCCAUGGUUUGGCCACCAUUUUCCUCUUCCUCAAUUUCCACCAAAGGUUUAUCCAUCAUUCCCAUUUCCACCAAACACACCAUCACCUACUCCUGUUUAUGACCCACCAGUUGUUGAGACUCCCCCUGUUCCAGUAUACAAUCCUCCUCCGGUUGUUGAGACUCCCCCUGUUCCAGUAUACAAUCCUCCUCCGGUUGUUGAGACUCCCCCUGUUCCAGUAUACAAUCCUCCUCCGGUUGUUGAGACUCCCCCUGUUCCAGUAUACAAUCCUCCUCCGGUUGUUGAACCACCACCAGUUUACAAUCCUCCUCCGGUUUACAAUCCUCCUCCUGUUUACACACCAACACCAAAGCCAGAACCACCAGUAGUCAAGCCUCCUUGUGACCCAAAACCAAAGCCACAGCCACCUGUCUACAAACCUGCUCCCAUUCCGGUUUAUAAGCCAAAGCCAAAGCCGCCAGUCUACAAGCCUGCUCCCGUCCCAGUUUACAAGCCAAAGCCAAAUCCAGAGCCUCCAGUCUACAAGCCUGCUCCCAUUCCGGUUUAUAAGCCAAAGCCAAAGCCACCAGUCUACAAGCCUUCUCCCAUCCCAGUUUACAAACCAAAGCCAAAUCCAGAGCCUCCGGUUUACAAGCCUGCUCCCAUUCCAGUUUAUAAGCCAAAACCAAAACCGCCUGUUUAUAAGCCUGCUCCCGUUCCAGUUUACAAACCAAAGCCAAAGCCACCCGUUUACAAGCCUGCUCCAGUUCCGGUUUACAAGCCAAAGCCAAAGCCGCCAGUCUACAAACCGGCUCCGGUUCCAGUUUACAAGCCAAAACCAGAGCCACCGGUUUACAAGCCAGCUCCGGUUCCGGUUCCAGUUUACAAACCAAAGCCAAAGCCGCCAGUCUACAAACCUUCCCCUGUUCCAGUUUAUAAGCCAAAGCCUGAGCCACCGGUCUACAAACCUGCCCCUGUUCCAGUUUACAAGCCAAAGCCAGAGCCACCGGUUGUCAAGCCUCCUUGUGACCCAAAACCAAAACCAGAGCCACCUGUCUACAAGCCUGCUCCCGUUCCUAUUUACAAACCUAAGCCAGAGCCGCCAGUCUACAAGCCUUCUCCAGUUCCAGUUUACAAACCGGAGCCAAAACCGCCUGUUUAUAAUCCUUCUCCUGUUCCAGAUUACAAUCCAACACCAAAAUCACCAUUGCCUCCGGUAAUAGACCCACCUUCACCAAAGAAACCUUGCCCACCAUUUUCUCUCCCAAAGCUUCCUCCUUUGCCCACCAUUCCUCCAAAGUAUUUCCAUCAUCACCCCAUCCUAGGAAAUCAUCAUCAUUUGCCCACCAUUCCUCCAAAAUAUUUUCAUCAUCCCAUUCCUUCCCUAC
This 1404-nucleotide long non-coding RNA is filed under the name Lactuca sativa (garden lettuce). RNAcentral describes it as "long non-coding RNA (LSAT_LNC002306)". The record is from RNAcentral. Lineage: Eukaryota; Viridiplantae; Streptophyta; Magnoliopsida; Asterales; Asteraceae.